UGGGGAAUAUUGGACAAUGGGCGCAAGCCUGAUCCAGCAAUGCCGCGUGUGUGAAGAAGGCCUUCGGGUUGUAAAGCACUUUUAUCAGGAGCGAAACGCUGUCGGCUAAUACCCGGCGGAACUGACGGUACCUGAGGAAUAAGCACCGGCUAACUUCGUGCCAGCAGCCGCGGUAAUACGAAGGGUGCAAGCGUUAAUCGGAAUUACUGGGCGUAAAGCGUGCGUAGGCGGUUUCUUAAGUCUGCUGUGAAAUCCCCGGGCUCAACCUGGGAAUGGCAGUGGAUACUGGGAGGCUAGAGUGUGUCAGAGGGUGGUGGAAUUCCCGGUGUAGCGGUGAAAUGCGUAGAGAUCGGGAGGAACAUCAGUGGCGAAGGCGGCCACCUGGGACAACACUGGCGCUGAGGCACGAAAGCGUGGGGAGCAAACAGGAUUAGGAUACCCUGGUAGUCCACGCCCUAAACGAUGCGAACUGGAUGUUGGUCUCAACUCGGAGAUCAGUGUCGAAGCUAACGCGUUAAGUUCGCCGCCUGGGGAGUACGGUCGCAAGACUGAAACUCAAAGGAAUUGACGGGGUCAUAGCUGUUUCCUG
Molecule: ribosomal RNA, 589 nt
Filed under: uncultured bacterium
Lineage: Bacteria
Description: partial 16S ribosomal RNA
Rfam family: Bacterial small subunit ribosomal RNA
Source: RNAcentral